Long non-coding RNA from Rhinolophus ferrumequinum (greater horseshoe bat), 2412 nucleotides. The record is from Ensembl. NCBI's taxonomy places the organism in Eukaryota, Metazoa, Chordata, Mammalia, Chiroptera, Rhinolophidae.
CCACCUAUGUCACAGAAGAGAUGAUCCCAUUAUAGGAGCUAAUUGAAGUUGGCCAUGAGGGAGGAGAACAACUAGUGACAAGGGAGCUAGGAGACCCCACCCUGGACGACACUCCUUUGUGUUACAAACAUCUGUCACGUGAGCAUGAUGAAUGGAAGAUGGCACAGCCCUAGCAGUCAGAAGGUCCAGAUCCAAAUGCUACCCACUCGGUCGUCUUGGGUUCCGGAGCAGCUCCCAGUGCGUGGCAGACUCUCAACAAAUACUGUUGAUGGAAUAAAUCCUGGCUCAUCUCCACACCUACGUAAACCUCAUCUCUAUCUAUCAUGGGGAAUUCUGGCCUUGACUCUUAUUACACGUUGGGUAAUCUAAUCUGAAUUAUCAAUUACAGUGACACCCGCAGUUCAGUCAAAAUAGUAGGAAGCUGGUAAUGUCCAAUGUCAUUUGAUCCAAUUUUGGAAAGAGACAAAAGAGCUAAGAGAAUGUUGAGGACAUGGUCUAAUUUGGGGGAUAGUUCUUUCAAAACUUUUCCAACAAGAUAUAGCUAAUAAUUUACAAUAGUGAAUAAUAAUACAGAGGGAUCUAAACACAAGUAUAAAGUACCGCCCCCAGGACAACAUACAUUUGAAGUCUCACAAUUUAUUUUUAAAAUCCAGACGAAUUUUAUGUUCUAAUUCAUUAUAUAUCUGUGUUUAAUAGAAAUUUUAUAUUCUAAUUCAUUAAAUAUCUGUGUUUGAUUUAAAGAAAUUUCCCCUCAAAUUGUUGAAAAAAAUGUGCCUUCCGAGAUGUGUCCUCUUUACCCUGGAAAACCACCAAGAACCCCCAAGUGCAUAUGAUCCAAGCUGAUAACCAUCUGGAAAUAAUUCUGGAGGAGCGCUGUAGGAAGCCCAGCUCUCACCCAUCCCUUACCGCCUCACUCACUUGCCCGCAUCUUCAUCUCAGGGAGGAAGAGCACUGGAACAAGGACCCCUAAGUGAACUAAGAGUCCCAAGGGGUGUCGAGUUUUGAGAUAGCAAAAAAAGGCUAAGCGUCUAUCUUUCUGCAUCAGUCUCUUUUCUGACAUCUCUUCUAAAUCAUUUCCCGGCUCUUUCUUUCCAGGUGCUUGGUGAAAGAAGAGGUCAUUCCUGAGAGGAGAGAACAUAGAGUGACUUAGUUUUCUCAAGACCAUCUGGUUAUUUAUGAUUGUUGUCCUGGCAGUAUUAAUAAUGCUUCCUUUUCAUUGGUAUCAUACAUGGUCACUCUAAGGGACAUCUUAUCUUCUACACUCUUACCCUCACUUUAAAGGACAACCAGGAACCAACCUAAAGAAUCAUACAUAAAACGAUGUAAGUCUCCUUCAAGUUCAUCUUCAUAUCAUCAAGGAAAAGGCAUCCUUGUGACUCACAUUUGUCGUUUAUUUCACCUACUAAGGAAAUCACAGUAGUAUUUGGUGUCCAAACCUUGAUUCAUGGUAAUGAAGUUUCCUUUGUCUCAAGUAUUUCUGCUCUUAGGAAUCUAUAAUCACUAUUGGUUAUUCAUUGAAAAUUGGAGGUUCAAGAUUCAGGCUAGUAUGCAUAUAUUAUAAUAAUAAUAUUUAUAGGGAGAGGAUAGAAGAAGCAACCAGGGAGGUAAGAGUGAAUUGGGUUAGUUAGUAGAAGUAUUUUAAAAUAAAAUAAAAUGUGACAAAUGGAAAAUAUUCAAAGAUGCCACAUGAAUUUGAACAAUCAGCUGUUUCAGUGACCUAGCAUUUGAAGGCAUGAAAGAGAAGGCCAUUAUCCCAUGAAUGUACCAAACAACAGAUUGCUGAGAUAGCAAUUAUGGUGGCUAUUGCGGGAAGUAUACUAGACCGAUGGUCCCAGCUGUGGUCCUUUGAAAUCCAUCAUCACCUUUGUUCUGAGGCCAUGGUUUCUGUGGCUGCUCUCAGCAUAACUAAGCACAGCAGUGCUAAGGCAGGUCCAUUCCGGAAGAUGCAGGAUGCCUCUGAUGGCCACCUUUAGCUUCAGGACUCCCAGGCAGCCUUGACAAAACUUUCUGGGAAUUGAAAUCUGAAGGUCUUUCUUCCUUGUUUUCCUUCCCUGUCUCCUUCACAGGGAUCAGUCCUGCACAGUGGUCUGAUGGCCCUCACAGCCUCCUCCAGCUCCCUCUCCAUUUUCUCCCACAAGAUUUUUCUCAAAAAAUAUCAUGCACCUCUAAUCCCAUCUUGGCAUCUGCUGCUCAGAGGACCUGAACUAACACAGUAAUUCAAGUAGGGAUCUAGUUGAGGGACAGAAAGAAUCAGGCCAUUUAAUGCACUUAGGAUAAUUUGAUCCAAGACCGAGGAAGAUUAAUAAGUGAUCAUAAAAGGAAAAGUUUGACCAGAUUUAAGAGGGAGCUUUCUGAGAAUAAGUAACAGAAAAGGCUGUGAUGGUGGAGGUGGAAGUGAGAGAAAUUGGGGUC